Molecule: long non-coding RNA, 522 nt
Filed under: Saimiri boliviensis boliviensis (Bolivian squirrel monkey)
Lineage: Eukaryota; Metazoa; Chordata; Mammalia; Primates; Cebidae
Description: lncRNA (ENSSBOG00000036660.1)
Source: RNAcentral
UUUAUUUUCAGGUUUCUCUUCAGAGUCUCAUGAGCUACUAGCUCAUCCAAGGGCUGAUGGAGAUGCUGAAAAUGCACCCAGCUUGCUACCAGUGUGCUGUGAACAUGCUAUACAAGUAGAUGAAGGAGAAUCAGAAGAAAUGCCCCGGUUAUUGCCUUAUGAUGCAGAAGAGGGCAGUGAUGACUGUUUGGAAAUGUGUGAUGGAGAAGAGCCCCAGGAAGCCUCUAGCUCCCUAGCAAGAUGUGGGUCAGAGACGUUUGCGCUAAACACUCCCCAAAUCACUAAUGAAGGAGAACCAGAGAAAAGGCUUGGUCUACUACCGGGUGAAGGAGAAGUAUCUAGUGAACUAAAAGAUCACCAAAUGAAUGAAGAAGAAGAAUCAGAAGAGCUUGCUUCUAGCCUGCUACGUGAGGAUGUACCAGAUACUGUGGAUACUGGAAGCAACUCUGCUUUGGAAAGUACCAAACCCAAGAGGAAAAGAAGUAAGAAUAAAUACGAAUUUACUUGCUUUUGAUGUUGCAA